GAUGAACGCUGGCGGCGUGCCUAAUACAUGCAAGUCGAGCGAACAGACGAGGAGCUUGCUCCUCUGACGUUAGCGGCGGACGGGUGAGUAACACGUGGAUAACCUACCUAUAAGACUGGGAUAACUUCGGGAAACCGGAGCUAAUACCGGAUAAUAUAUUGAACCGCAUGGUUCAAUAGUGAAAGACGGUUUUGCUGUCACUUAUAGAUGGAUCCGCGCCGCAUUAGCUAGUUGGUAAGGUAACGGCUUACCAAGGCAACGAUGCGUAGCCGACCUGAGAGGGUGAUCGGCCACACUGGAACUGAGACACGGUCCAGACUCCUACGGGAGGCAGCAGUAGGGAAUCUUCCGCAAAGGGCGAAAGCCUGACGGAGCGACGCCGCGUGAGUGAUGAAGGUCUUCGGAUCGUAAAACUCUGUUAUUAGGGAAGAACAAAUGUGUAAGUAACUAUGCACGUCUUGACGGUACCUAAUCAGAAAGCCACGGCUAACUACGUG
This 497-nucleotide ribosomal RNA is filed under the name uncultured bacterium. Its description in RNAcentral is "partial 16S ribosomal RNA". It matches the Rfam family "Bacterial small subunit ribosomal RNA", at positions 28 to 507 of the family's 1533-position model. The record is from RNAcentral.